Molecule: unclassified non-coding RNA, 212 nt
Filed under: uncultured fungus
Lineage: Eukaryota; Fungi
Description: sequence contains ITS1
Rfam family: 5.8S ribosomal RNA (bases 1-94)
Source: RNAcentral
CAACUGCGAAAAGCACUGCGAAUUGCAGAACACCGUGAGUCAGUAGAUUUUUGAACGCAACCGGCGCCCUCUGGGCAUGUUUGCUUCAGUGCCUCCUUUGCUAACAGCUGCGAGUGCAGAGCUCUCGCUAAGUUCUCCCGUCCAGGAUCUGGCAGGUUAGAUCUGGGAUCAAAGAGUGCCUGAAGUCAAGCAAGAUUACCCGCUGAACUUAA